This 300-nucleotide ribosomal RNA is filed under the name Puerulus velutinus. Its description in RNAcentral is "partial 12S ribosomal RNA". The record is from RNAcentral. Lineage: Eukaryota; Metazoa; Arthropoda; Malacostraca; Decapoda; Palinuridae.
UGUUUUAGUCUAGUUGGAGGAACCUGUUUUAUAAACGAUAAACCACGUAAAAUCUUUCUUGUCUUUUUAGAGGUUAGUAUACCUUCAUUGUUAGAUAAUUCUUUUGGAUAAGAAUUGUUGAAAUAGAGUAACUCUAGUAUAUUAGAUCACGGUGCUGCUAAUAGACAAGUAAAAAUGGGUUACAAUAAAAUUUAAUUUAUUACGGACUAGGAUAAGAAAUGUUAUCAAAAGAAGGAGGAUUCAAUUGUAAUUAAAGUUUUAAUAAGAUUAAGUGAUAUAAGCUCUAAAAUGUGUACAUAU